AGAUUGAACGCUGGCGGCAUGCUUUACACAUGCAAGUCGAACGGUAACAGGCCGCAAGGUGCUGACGAGUGGCGAACGGGUGAGUAAUGCAUCGGAACGUGCCCAGUCGUGGGGGAUAACGCAGCGAAAGCUGUGCUAAUACCGCAUACGAUCUAUGGAUGAAAGCGGGGGACCGAAAGCCUCGCGCGAUUGGAGCGGCCGAUGUCAGAUUAGCUAGUUGGUGGGGUAAAAGCUCACCAAGCCGACGAUCUGUAGCUGGUUUGAGAGAACGACCAGCCACACUGGGACUGAGACACGGCCCAGACUCCUACGGGAGCAGCAGUGGAGAUUUGGACAAUGGGACGAAAGCCUGA
RNAcentral lists this ribosomal RNA (353 nucleotides) under uncultured soil bacterium. RNAcentral describes it as "bacterial SSU rRNA". It matches the Rfam family "Bacterial small subunit ribosomal RNA", at positions 26 to 386 of the family's 1533-position model. The record is from RNAcentral.